This 465-nucleotide ribosomal RNA is filed under the name Vreelandella stevensii. Its description in RNAcentral is "partial 16S ribosomal RNA". It matches the Rfam family "Bacterial small subunit ribosomal RNA", at positions 338 to 795 of the family's 1533-position model. The record is from RNAcentral. Lineage: Bacteria; Pseudomonadati; Pseudomonadota; Gammaproteobacteria; Oceanospirillales; Halomonadaceae.
CCUACGGGUGGCAGCAGUGGGGAAUAUUGGACAAUGGGCGAAAGCCUGAUCCAGCCAUGCCGCGUGUGUGAAGAAGGCCUUCGGGUUGUAAAGCACUUUCAGUGGGGAAGAAAGCCUUGGGGCUAAUACCCUCGAGGAAGGACAUCACCCACAGAAGAAGCACCGGCUAACUCCGUGCCAGCAGCCGCGGUAAUACGGAGGGCGCGAGCGUUAAUCGGAAUUACUGGGCGUAAAGCGCGCGUAGGCGGUCUGAUAAGCCGGUUGUGAAAGCCCCGGGCUCAACCUGGGAACGGCAUCCGGAACUGUCAGGCUAGAGUGCAGGAGAGGAAGGUAGAAUUCCCGGUGUAGCGGUGAAAUGCGUAGAGAUCGGGAGGAAUACCAGUGGCGAAGGCGGCCUUCUGGACUGACACUGACGCUGAGGUGCGAAAGCGUGGGUAGCAAACAGGAUUAGAUACCCCGGUAGUC